RNAcentral lists this ribosomal RNA (513 nucleotides) under uncultured Saccharomyces. RNAcentral describes it as "eukaryotic LSU rRNA". It matches the Rfam family "Eukaryotic large subunit ribosomal RNA", at positions 62 to 578 of the family's 3401-position model. The record is from RNAcentral. Lineage: Eukaryota; Fungi; Ascomycota; Saccharomycetes; Saccharomycetales; Saccharomycetaceae.
AAACCAACCGGGAUUGCCUUAGUAACGGCGAGUGAAGCGGCAAAAGCUCAAAUUUGAAAUCUGGUACCUUCGGUGCCCGAGUUGUAAUUUGGAGAGGGCAACUUUGGGGCCGUUCCUUGUCUAUGUUCCAUGGAACAGGACGUCAUAGAGGGUGAGAAUCCCGUGUGGCGAGGAGUGCGGUUCUUUGUAAAGUGCCUUCGAAGAGUCGAGUUGUUUGGGAAUGCAGCUCUAAGUGGGUGGUAAAUUCCAUCUAAAGCUAAAUAUUGGCGAGAGACCGAUAGCGAACAAGUACAGUGAUGGAAAGAUGAAAAGAACUUUGAAAAGAGAGUGAAAAAGUACGUGAAAUUGUUGAAAGGGAAGGGCAUUUGAUCAGACAUGGUGUUUUGUGCCCUCUGCUCCUUGUGGGUAGGGGAAUCUCGCAUUUCACUGGGCCAGCAUCAGUUUUGGUGGCAGGAUAAAUCCAUAGGAAUGUAGCUUGCCUCGGUAAGUAUUAUAGCCUGUGGGAAUACUGCC